GUGGGGAAUCUUGCGCAAUGGGGGCAACCCUGACGCAGCGACGCCGCGUGGGUGAAGAAGGCCUUCGGGUUGUAAAGCCCUGCCGCAGGGGAAGAAACAGUCCCGGGUAACGCCGGGUUGCGACGGUACCCUGUGAGAAAGCACUGGCUAACUCCGUGCCAGCAGCCGCGGUAAUACGGAGAGUGCGAGCGUUGUUCGGAAUCACUGGGCGUAAAGCGGGUGUAGGCGGCCUUGCAAGUCGGACUGUGAAAGCCUGGGGCUCAACUCCAGAAGUGCAUCCGAAACUGCCGGGCUUGAGUUCGGGAGAGGGAAGCGGAAUUCCCGGUGUAGAAGUGAAAUUCGUAGAUAUCGGGAGGAACACCAGUGGCGAAGGCGGCUUCCUGGACCGAUACUGACGCUCUGACCCGAAAGCGUGGGGAGCAAACAGGAUUAGAUACCCCAGUAGUCC
RNAcentral lists this ribosomal RNA (448 nucleotides) under uncultured bacterium. RNAcentral describes it as "bacterial SSU rRNA". It matches the Rfam family "Bacterial small subunit ribosomal RNA", at positions 354 to 796 of the family's 1533-position model. The record is from RNAcentral.